This 253-nucleotide non-coding RNA is filed under the name uncultured bacterium. RNAcentral's name for it is "partial 16S ribosomal RNA". It matches the Rfam family "Bacterial small subunit ribosomal RNA", at positions 524 to 776 of the family's 1533-position model. RNAcentral also lists the same sequence under 2 other names. The record is from RNAcentral.
UACGGAGGGUGCAAACGUUGCUCGGAAUCAUUGGGCGUAAAGCGUGUGUAGGCGGCCUGUUAAGUCGGGUGUGAAAGCCCCGGGCUCAACCCGGGAAGUGCAUUCGAUACUGGCAGGCUUGAGUACGGGAGAGGGUCGCGGAAUUCCCGGUGUAGAGGUGAAAUUCGUAGAUAUCGGGAGGAACACCAGUGGCGAAGGCGGCGACCUGGACCGAUACUGACGCUGAGACACGAAAGCGUGGGGAGCAAACAGG